ACGGCUCGCUCUACAUCCUCCUCUGACUUUUUCGUUUCUUUCACAAAGUGAAGCUAAAAAGAAAAAAAAAAUGACCAGAGACACCGGAAGUUGUGCUCCUGUGAUGACACGGUGACAGAAGUUAGUGUUUGUUUCAGAGAAGCUCGACUCCGGUAACUGUCACACAUGUCUGCGGAAACUUUUUCUCCUGAGAUGGAAGAAGGUCCGAGACGAAGCUGCCGUUCGAAGACUCUCCGGUUCUACCGUCCGCGGGAAGUGGUGCUGCUCUCUCUCUGAGUGACGUGAUGUCGUGGGGUGAGUUCAUCGAGCUCCGUGAGCUGCGCACAAACAAAGAUGAGACGAAGCCGAUGGACGCUCAUGUCCCCUGCUCGCCGCCUCGUCUGGAAAGAACCAACGCUCUUAGAAUCAGCCCGGGGAAAGUCCCAGACAUGCUGAGCCGCGUGGGCAUCAUCAGAGUUCUGAGCAGUGCCCACGACCCGCAGCCCACAGAGGAGAAAGGAGAGGGACACAACUUCCAGCCCUGCAGCCACGCUCAGCCCACGUGGUGCGACCUGUGUGGAGACUUCAUCUGGGGCCUGUACAAGCAGAGCCUGCGGUGUGUCAACUGUAAAUUCACGUGUCACUAUCGCUGUCGUGCCCUGAUCCAGUUGGACUGCAGCUGGGACGGAGGCUCAGUGUCUGACCAAACAUGUGUCCUGGAACACACCGUAGAAACAGACACCGAUGUGGAUGAGAAAACUGAAAGUGGAAAGCAGGAGUUGACGACUGCAGCCGUUCAGCAGAAGGUGAAGGACUACAACACCCAGAUCAACAGCAACCUCUUCAUGAACAUGAACAAGGACGGCUCCUACACCGGCUUCGUGAAGGUGCAGUUCAAGCUGGCUCGCCCCGUGUCCGUUCACUCCGCCAAGAAAGGAAGUCACGACGGUGGGGGGAAGAAGGGGGCCGGCGUCAAGCGUCGAACCUCGUUCUACCUGCCAAAAGAUGCAUCCAAGCACCUGCACAUCAGCUCUCGCACCUCUGCCCGUGAGGUCAUCGAGGCUUUGCUCAAAAAGUUUACGGUGGUGGACAAUCCUGGGAAGUUCGCUCUGUUUGAGCGAAGCGAGCGUCACGACCAGGUUUAUGUCCGUAAGCUGUCUGACGACGAGAGGCCACUGCGUCUCCGUCUGAACGCUGGACCCAGUGAGAAAGUCCUGACUUUUCUGCUCAAAGAAAAUGAAACCGGAGAAGUCAACUGGCACGCCUUCUCCAUGCCAGAGUUGAAGAACUUCCUGCGUAUUCUGCAGCGUGAAGAAGAAGAACACGUCAAGCAGAUAGUGCAGCGGUACGCUCUGGCCCGCACCAAGAUGCAGGAGGCUCUGGCUGGAUCCACGCCUGGCUGAGACGCAUCCGUGCCGGGGAUUACACGUGCACUUCUUGGCUGGACCGUCCCUUCAAAGAUGACCAGCUGUUGGUGCAUCAGAACAUCCCAGAGAACACAACGCAAAACGCCUCUUAGGUGAACGAGAGAAUGUUCUCCAGCGUAAGACACUGAGAAAGAGAGAGAGAGAGAGAGAGAGAGCUGGCGCUAAUGUGCGUGUGAUGAUGUGAGAGAUGAGAAGUGCCUUACACCUGGAGAGCCUGAUGUGCCUGAGAGUAUGAGUGGAGAGAAAUGACGAUGGCAGAUGAGACUUUGGUUCGACUCCUACAAUAAUGAUCCUGUACUUCAGCUGUGUUACUGAGGCUUUAAAGAAAAUGUGAACGGUGGAACCUUUAACCUUUAACCUUUCGUUAGAUUAGACUACAGUAAUUUAGAAAUAAAAAAACCGACACAAAUCAUUACAUCAUAAUCAAUAAAACAGCCCUUUGAACCAGAUUAAGCCCUGACCCUGAUGGAGCCACCAUCAUCUUCACCUCAUCUUCACAUUUUCAUGGCUGUCGUCCCAAAGUCAAACACAGACUCACUGCUGCAGCAGGGAUUUGGAUUUGUUAUUGGUCCCAGUCUCAAACGUUUGCCACGUCCUCUCCGCACCCUUUGUGGGUGAAGUUUUUUUUUUUUUUUUUAACUAGUGCUUCUACUAGUUAUGUGUGUGUGACAACUGUGUGAAACGAUGUCAAUCUGGUCGACUGGAAACACGAAUGAACGAGUUUACUGCAAACUGUCAUUCCUUUCAUGUUCUUUCCAUCCUGUCUGUCCUCAGAGGCAACUGUUUGUCUUCUAUUUUUCAAUCUUUUCAUCGUCUUCAUUUAUGCACAUAUUUACAUGUUGUAGCUGUCCUGAAAACACAGGACAAAUGUGCACUUCUUUCAGUAAAGGAUUUUACACUUA
RNA transcript from Cynoglossus semilaevis (tongue sole), 2308 nucleotides. It is a transcript of the gene named ras association domain-containing protein 1, with no coding region annotated. The record is from RefSeq and is a predicted model, not a curated record. Lineage: Eukaryota; Metazoa; Chordata; Actinopteri; Pleuronectiformes; Cynoglossidae. The transcript is spliced from 8 exons.